This is a long non-coding RNA of Heterocephalus glaber (naked mole-rat), 3485 nucleotides long. NCBI's taxonomy places the organism in Eukaryota, Metazoa, Chordata, Mammalia, Rodentia, Bathyergidae. The record is from Ensembl.
GUCAGGCACAGACUCCGGAGAGCAGGGCCGAGAGUCUCCGCUCGAUGCACAGCUUGCCUGCGGGAACAGGCUGUCGCUGCUGCCCGAGUCUGAGGCCUGUGUCCCAAAUGCAGCCUUGAGGAGCAGGUCAGUGAGGCGGCUGGUGCUGAAGGAUCUACGGGAGAGAUGCGGCACUUCAGAUGCUGGGCCUGGGCUCCCCAACGGCCCGACACCCCAUCUCAGCUCAUCUCCGGCGGCACGAGGCCAGCUCCAGGCCAGACUCCCCCAGAACCAUGGAGGGUGCAGAACAAGGCCUGGCAUGUGCCUCCUGCCUGCCCCACUCACCGCCCAAGGGGCCCUUGGUAUCCUCAGCCGGCCGUAGGCCGGAGCCCAGCUGCUGUCCCUGGAAGGGCCCUGCCUGCGAGAGGUCCGGCAGCGUCCGGUUCCGGGGGGGUGUCACCACCACGCCCUGCCGGGCUAGCAGAGCCAAGAGGUUCUGGGAGCUGGGGACCUUGGGGAAGUUGAAGGAGGACAGCAGGUGAUGCCCAGCCUGCUAUGGCCCCAUGUACACUGAGGCCCUCACCCACCUCGCCGGGGGUGGGCUGGGGGCCCCUGGAUGGGAAAUGGGGCUGUCCCCAGGGUGGCAGCCUGGCUUCCAAGGUGGCCUUCUGUGCCCAGCCUAGUCCACAACCUUGGGAAGGAUGCCACUGAGCAUGGGUGCAGGUUCCCUCAAAACGGGUGGUCUGAGGGCCUCAGCACAGAGAGGACCAGCCACGGGUCCCAUCCUGAGACCUUCGACACGGAGCUGGGCCCUAUGUCCCAGACCUCCCUCGCAGGGACUCCCAGGACACAGCCAUGCCUAGAGGUCCAGGCAGGAGGCCGAAAACAGGGGUCUGGUCUCCCUCCCCUGGAGCUGGGAGGCUGGGCUGAGUGUUACCUUGGUGGGGGAGCCCAGGAUGGGGGGCAGAGGGUUCCGCUGCAGGAAGUCAGGAAGCUUGGGUGAGCCUCGUAGGGGCCGGCAGGACUGCAGCACGGGGCCAGGUGGGGAAGGGCUGGGCUGCGGGGGGCUGAAGGUGGCUCCCAGCGGGUCUGUGGGGGGCUUGGGCAGCUUGGGGCAGACGACGUGCAGGUCCGACAGGUUGGGGCGCUGUGCAGGCGGCAGCCCAGCCCAGGAGUGCGGGCCGAGUGCUCGAGCACAGAGGAGCCUGGGAACAGGACAGGCUAAUUCCCAGGCUUAGGCACAGAGACGGGGCCACCACACCGCACUGCAAAGGGGUCUCGGGUCUCCAGGAGCCCUUUCCCCUCCCAGCCGCAACGAGGGGACACAGGCUGCACCUACCUGGCCGUGGUGACCUGCUACUCCGCACCUCGGCUCCCUGCGGGGAGGGUGCCCUGCUCCAGCUGGGCCUCUCGGGGAUGGUCCCAACUUGGGGAGCAGGUUCCAGGGUUAGAGCAGGCAGAUGCAGGGGUCUCUGCCCACCCAGCCCAGGCCCAAGGCUGCGCGCACCCUGUGGGGAUGGUGUGUAGGGCCGGCCUCCGCCCAGAGACAGCUUCCUGGCCAGGACAGCGGCAUCGGCAUGGGACGGAGGGGAUGGGCUCACCCGGGCAAAGCCCAGGGGGCUGGUGCCGCCCCACCUGCGGCUGGCAGAGGACCUGGGGACGGGCAAGCACAGUGUGAGGCCCCAGCACCUGUGCCACACCCGGCGGGGGCCACGGGUGCCUCAGGGUCCUCCCCACAGCGCCAGGCAUGGGAGAGGGCUGGCCGUGCCACGCCAGGGACACUCACCGGGGUGUGUGCUGCUGGGUGGGGGACUGCAGGUUCUGCUCAAUGCGCUGGUAGUUGUGCACCUGAGUGGGGACAGGGAUGGGGACCGAGGCGCCGUACCUGCUGCUGGAGAAGGUGCCAGCCCGGCUGCCGGGGAAGACAUGGGCUCACAGGACUGCCGGAGGCCAGAGGCACCCAGGGCCUGUUCUGUGCACACCCGCCCCGGUGUCCGCUCCCCACCCCAGGGAGCAGGCAGGGCCACCCACAUGUCUGCAUGAGGACAGCACCUCCGGCCAGACCAGCACUGCUAGGCAGGGUGGCCGCGCCCCAGGAUGCCCACCUGCCUACCCACUCGGCCCCACCCUCCUUACCCAGACGGGCUGGGUGAGCUACUGCAGGACGGGGAGGGGGACGGGGUCCGGCCAUGGCUCUCCAGCCCCGCAGAGGCCACCAGCGAGCUCCUGCAGGGCAGAGGUGACAGAUGGGGCAUCACGGUACCGGCCCAUCCUGGCCGCCUCCCCAGGCGGGGGGCACCAGCAACCCUGAAGCCCCGUUUCUCUCCCAAGAGGGCGGGUGCUCACCCACUGCAGAGCAGGCUGUCCAGCGGGGCUUGGCACUGGCCGCCUCGGCCACCAGGUCGCCUGCAGGGACAGAACAUCUGGCAGGUGUCUGCCGCCCUACAGAGCCCACCUCACCACAGAGCCCUCGAGCCGAGUCCCACUUCCUUUUCCUAGAGGGGCUCCCAAAUGGCUCUGGGGCAGUGCACAGCAGCACAGCACAGGCAGGGAGAGGUGGGCACACGUGGGCCCCAGCUCUCCCCUUGGACCGCCCUUCAUCGCCCCUCACCAGCUCCAGGGUGGCAGGGAGGCCAGCCUGGCCCCGUGAAGCCUGGUUCCCACCCACUGUGAGCUGUGGCAGGGCCAGACCUGCAGGCCAGGCUGGAGCAGGGAGGAGCAGGCCUCUGAGGACGGCAGGGUAGGGCAGAGGCCACAGCCACGGAGUGGGGCAGCCUGUGAUGACCCUGCCUGCCUGUGCCCAGCCACAAGUACAAGCCCCCGGAGGCCACUACACGCACCACUGCCCUGACCUGGGAACUGAGCAGGGACCAUGACGAGUCGUCUGUGUCACAGGAGUCCUUGCUGCUGCCUCCUGAGUCCCGGGAGCCAUGCAGGAAGCCAGCGGCAUCCGCCGGGGAGGCCAGGUGUGAGGUGGAGCUGCUGCUGGAGCUGCUGCCGGACCCUGAGCUCGGGUAGGAGGGCACAGGCACAGGCACAGGCGGGGCUGUGGGGGGCAAGGGCAGUCGGGGCACCGUCUCCCGCCCCGCGCAGGGGGCAGCGCUGCAGGGAGCCACUCCAGAUGGCCGUCCCAGGCCAGGUGCACUCGAGCGCGGCCCCACAGUGCCCCAACCGGGAGGGGCACCAGCAAGGACCUCACCCCGAGCCACGACCUUGGCCUGCACUGACCCUCACACCAUGGGGACAGGAGCCCGCGGCCAGCUUAGGUGACACCAGCCUGCAUGGACCUCCAGCCUCCACCCUGUACCGCGGCCACCCCCACCCAGCACAAGACCUGACCACAGACUGCAAGCAACAGCGCCUCUGACCCUCAGGACUCACACUUCUUGACGGAGGCGCUGGCAUCCAGGAAAGGGUGGUGGAAAAACUCAUCUGAGGGAGGGAGAGUCAGGCCUCAGGACACCCUGUACCCGGCCUGGGGACCCAUCUCAUCCAGCCGGACCCAC